CACGUAGGGGGCAAGCGUUGUCCGGAUUUAUUGGGCGUAAAGAGCUCGUAGGCGGCUUGGUAAGUCGGGUGUGAAACCUCCAGGCUCAACCUGGAGACGCCACUCGAUACUGUUUGGCUAGAGACCGGAAGAGGUAAGUGGAACUGCGAGUGUAGAGGUGAAAUUCGUAGAUAUUCGCAAGAACACCAGUGGCGAAGGCGGCUUCCUGGACACCAACUGACGCUGAGACGCGAAAGCGUGGGGAGCAAACAGG
This 253-nucleotide ribosomal RNA is filed under the name uncultured bacterium. RNAcentral describes it as "partial 16S ribosomal RNA". It matches the Rfam family "Bacterial small subunit ribosomal RNA", at positions 524 to 776 of the family's 1533-position model. The record is from RNAcentral.